CUCGCUGAAUCUUCGGGCAACCGGAGAACGGGGGAACCAAUACGGAUUGUUGACUGAACGUUCCGUAUUUGAUUUCUUUAACGGGUCUUUGGGGUGAAUUCAAGGUCAUUGCGCCAUGAGCGGAUGAACUGAGAUAGGGCAGCUCUCUACGCCCGAACCCGACAGCUAACCUCGUAAGCGUAUGAAGAGAGA
RNAcentral lists this small RNA (192 nucleotides) under Paenibacillus tuaregi. RNAcentral describes it as "ydaO/yuaA leader". It matches the Rfam family "c-di-AMP riboswitch aptamer (ydaO/yuaA leader)", at positions 11 to 130 of the family's 134-position model. Rfam says of the family: This family represents a conserved RNA structure found upstream of the ydaO and yuaA genes in Bacillus subtilis and related genes in other bacteria. The ydaO/yuaA element is thought to act as a genetic "off" switch for the ydaO and yuaA genes in its native state. Lineage: Bacteria; Bacillati; Bacillota; Bacilli; Caryophanales; Paenibacillaceae. The record is from RNAcentral.